CCGCGCCCGAUUCGAUCGAUCCUUGUACUCCACACACGAGUUGAUGCUAUUUAAGAUCGCCAACCCCUCCUCUGCCGAUUUUUGGCAAAACCCCUCGCUCCCAUGCCCUAUCUCGCCCGUACCAGAAGAUCGGAUCUCGUCGGAGUUGCGUGCCCGACAGAAGCUUUCGCCGUCGUUUCGAUCGUCUCUGAAGGAACCCCUGGAACGACUCAAUAGAGCUCGAUCAGGAGCCCUCGCCGUCGCUGCGACUUCAGCCGCACGUCAUCACCACCAGAGGACGGGACCGUCGCAGAAGAGAACGAAUUCAACGUCUACAGGAAUGUCCGCCUCCAGUAGAGUCCUUCUUGAGCUCGGGGGACCACCGCAAACGUCUCCACCGUCGAGGUCCGAGCCGCCGAGGUCUUCUUCGCCAAGUCCGGCGAUGCCUUUCCCUUUGUUCCGCGAUUGUCCCGAGUGCGAAGCAGAUCAGGACUAAGCGCUGUAGUACUUCAACACCGUUCAAGGCAAGUUUGCACUUUUGAUUUUGCUCAUCCUAUAGUCUGCUAUGCAUGUGGUUUUAUGCUAUGAUAUAUGUUUGGCCUGAUAUGUGUAUCUCGUUUUGUCAUGUUUGGUAUUAAUUGUGUUAUUUGAUGGUGUGAACAACUUGCUAUGGUAGACGUGGGCAUGUGUCGAGUGAUCCAUGAAAGUGGUGAGUGUUUAUAGCCGUAGGCUCGGGAUUAUUAACCAGGUGAAUGCGUCAUUGGCAGAGCGCUCUAUUGUCCCUAGAGAAUGCGCCAUUGAUAGAGCACACUUGAGGCGAGGUAUAGUUUUCAGAACUUAAAUGA
Long non-coding RNA from Triticum urartu, 824 nucleotides. RefSeq lists it as uncharacterized. The record is from RefSeq and is a predicted model, not a curated record. Lineage: Eukaryota; Viridiplantae; Streptophyta; Magnoliopsida; Poales; Poaceae.